GAUGAACGCUAGCUGCAGGCUUAACACAUGCAAGUCGAGGGACCGGCGCACGGGUGAGUAACACGUAACCAACCUGCCCUUUACUCGGGGAUAGCCUUUCGAAAGAACGAUUACUACCCGAUAUAAAGGAUGGGGAUGCGUUCCAUUAGGUUGUUGGUGAGGUAACGGCUCACCAAGCCUUCGAUGGAUAGGGGUUCUGAUAGCCAGGUCCCCGAGAUUGGAGAUGCGACACGGUCCCCAAUGGUAGGGGAGGCAGGGGUGUGUAAUAUAGGGCACUGGGGGCUAGCCUGAACCAGCCAAGUAGAUUGAGGGAUGAAGCCUUAUGGGUCGUAAACUUGUUGUAUAGAAGAAUAUGUAUUAGAUGAAUAAGGAUCGGCUAACUCCGUGCCAGCCGCCGCGGUAAUAC
This 406-nucleotide ribosomal RNA is filed under the name uncultured bacterium. RNAcentral's name for it is "partial 16S ribosomal RNA". It matches the Rfam family "Bacterial small subunit ribosomal RNA", at positions 28 to 526 of the family's 1533-position model. The record is from RNAcentral.